GCCCCGGUGACGGAACUGGCAUACGUCCCUGUCUCAGACACAGGGUUUUGAGGGUUCGAAUCCCUCCUGGGGUACCA
This 77-nucleotide transfer RNA is filed under the name Ottowia oryzae. RNAcentral's name for it is "tRNA-Leu". It matches the Rfam family "tRNA". Rfam says of the family: Transfer RNA (tRNA) molecules are approximately 80 nucleotides in length. Their secondary structure includes four short double-helical elements and three loops (D, anti-codon, and T loops). Further hydrogen bonds mediate the characteristic L-shaped molecular structure. tRNAs have two regions of fundamental functional importance: the anti-codon, which is responsible for specific mRNA codon recognition, and the 3' end, to which the tRNAs corresponding amino acid is attached (by aminoacyl-tRNA synthetases). tRNAs cope with the degeneracy of the genetic code in two manners: having more than one tRNA (with a specific anti-codon) for a particular amino acid; and 'wobble' base-pairing, i.e. permitting non-standard base-pairing at the 3rd anti-codon position. The record is from RNAcentral. Lineage: Bacteria; Pseudomonadati; Pseudomonadota; Betaproteobacteria; Burkholderiales; Comamonadaceae.